This 440-nucleotide ribosomal RNA is filed under the name uncultured bacterium. RNAcentral describes it as "partial 16S ribosomal RNA". It matches the Rfam family "Bacterial small subunit ribosomal RNA", at positions 338 to 795 of the family's 1533-position model. The record is from RNAcentral.
CCUACGGUGGGCAGCAGUGGGGAAUAUUGCACAAUGGGGGAAACCCUGAUGCAGCGACGCCGCGUGAGUGAAGAAGUAUCUCGGUACGUAAAGCUCUAUCAGCAGGGAAGAAAAUGACGGCACCUGACUAAGAAGGCGCGGCUAACUACGGGCCAGCAGCCCCGGUAAUACGUAGGGGGCAAGCGUUAUCCGGAUUUACUGGGUGUAAAGGGAGCGUUGGCGGUAGAAAAAGUCUAGAGUGAAAGCCCCGGGCUUAACCCCGGAACUGCUUUGGAAACUGUGGGGCUGGAGUGCAGGAGGGGUAAGCGGAAUUCCUGGUGUAGCGGUGAAAUGCGUAGAUAUUAGGCAGAACACCGAUGGCGAAGGCGGCUUACUGGACUGUAACUGACGUUGAGGCUCGAAAGCGUGGGGAGCAAACAGGAUUAGAUACCCUAGUAGUC